UUCACCUGGUGUGGGACCUUGAAGAGCUAUAAAGUCAAACCACUCCCUCUACAGCAUGCUGGUUUCAACAAAUCACUCUGGCAUGCAGAUCUAGUCUCCAGCUCCCAGAACCCUUGUGCAGUUUACUCCUGGACCCUGACCUUGGCCUGGAUAUUGGCAUGUGACUUUCUCUGGUACCCUUGGACCUCGGAACCGGCGAUUUGACCCUUCUCCUAGUGACAACCCUGUUUUGGACUUGGCAUUGACAACGAUUGAUGGACUGGUAUACGCGCUGCUGACAGCCUCCUCCAAAGACUCUGGUGGACAACAACAAUACCAAAGCUAUAUUGCCAAUCAGAUUUGGCUGUGUGAAGAAUAACUGAGGGCAAGUGAAUGCAAUGUGAAUACAUCAGUAAACAUUUUCACAAGGAGUGUUGAUUAACGGACAAAAAGCAAAUGUGUUUUUCUGAAUAGUUGAAACUGUUAGUGAAAAACUGCUUUAGCUUAGCUGUACUCAUUACUCCAGCAGAAUGUCAUCUGUUAAGGAGUUCUUCAGUUACUAGCGAAAACAAUACAUGGUAGUUUUUAUUUAACUCUAUGUGGUGCACUGAGCUUAAUUUUCAGGAUUCGAAUAACACAUCUGUCUCUGGACUCAAUAACUUCAACUUAUUUUUCUGUUAUUUAACAGCCUUAAUUUAUAGGCCUUAUUUUCUAUACGUUACCAAAAAUAGAUAAAGUACUUGUAUAUUCUA
This is a long non-coding RNA of Hemicordylus capensis (graceful crag lizard), 731 nucleotides long. RefSeq lists it as uncharacterized. The transcript is spliced from 2 exons. The record is from RefSeq and is a predicted model, not a curated record. NCBI's taxonomy places the organism in Eukaryota, Metazoa, Chordata, Lepidosauria, Squamata, Cordylidae.